AGCCCUUACACAGCCUGGAGGUGUGUUUGGGGUCAUUGUCUUGUUGAAAAAUAAAUGAUGGUCCAACUAAACGCAAACCGGAUUGAAUAGCAUGCCGCUGCAAGAUGCUGUGGUAGCCAUGCUGGUUCAGUAUGCCUUCAAUUUUGAAUAAAUCCCCAACAGUAUCACCGGCGAAGCCUCAAAUCA
Long non-coding RNA from Bufo bufo (common toad), 186 nucleotides. RefSeq lists it as uncharacterized. Lineage: Eukaryota; Metazoa; Chordata; Amphibia; Anura; Bufonidae. The record is from RefSeq and is a predicted model, not a curated record. The transcript has 3 exons.